AUGCCGAAUGCAUCAUGUUUCACAUGGCCUCGCCGGGGUGCGGAGGAAUCCCGCCCCCGCUGGGGCGACUGCUCUCUCCAUGGCCUCAACAUUAAGGUCGCCGGGUCGGUGCCGGACAUGGGUGCUCUCCCCGGAGGCGGCUCCAGGCCAAUUACAAUCCCUCCAUAUUUCUGGGGUGAGGGUCCGGUGGCCCAGUUGGCGAGGCGGUUUGGCUGGAAGGUGAAGCCGAGGAAAGGUGGUGGCUUCCCCGUGCAUGCGGGCUACUCGGAGGCGAGGGCCUUGGUCGGCAAGGGAGCCGUGGCGGAUCUGCGAAGGCUGUCUCGCCAGGCGGAAGACAUGGUGGCGGAGGUGUUUGCCAGCAUCAAGGACGAGCGGUUCGGAGAGGAAGCGGCGGAGGUGCCAGAACCGGCGCGGCGCAGGGUGGCACCGACGUCGUCGACGUGGGCUGCGACCUGCUCAACUCCGAGGUCAUGA
RNAcentral lists this ribosomal RNA (474 nucleotides) under Triticum aestivum (bread wheat). Its description in RNAcentral is "partial small subunit ribosomal RNA". The record is from RNAcentral. Lineage: Eukaryota; Viridiplantae; Streptophyta; Magnoliopsida; Poales; Poaceae.